Lotus japonicus is the source of this 710-nucleotide long non-coding RNA. RefSeq lists it as uncharacterized. The transcript is spliced from 2 exons. The record is from RefSeq and is a predicted model, not a curated record. Lineage: Eukaryota; Viridiplantae; Streptophyta; Magnoliopsida; Fabales; Fabaceae.
AAAAUUCUCAAGCACAAAAUGAAAGUCAGGUCAUUAAUGAAACUCAAACACAAACUGAAACCCAAGCACAAAAUCAAGUUCCCACAGUAAGUAUAAUUCAAUUAUAAUUGACAUAUGAACUGAAAAUUGAAAAUUGCAUAUUAACUGAAAAUUGUAUAUGCAUAUGAACUGAAAUUGCAUGAUGGAGGAACCUCUCAAGCUGGGCCUUCUCAGCCUGGGCCAUCUCAGGUUGCUAGACCACCUCAAGCUCGUAGGUGCAGCAGAUGUAAGCAAGUUGGACACAAUUCAAGGAGAUGCAGUCUUCCUGUCAUAACUCAAACUGCUACUUCUCAAGCUGUUCAUGAUGGAGCCUCCCAAGCUGUGCAAUCUCAGGUUGAAGAUGGAGCAAGAACUCAGGUAGAAGGUGUGGCGAAUCUGCCAGGAUCUGGAGCUGCAUCUCAGGUUCAUGGUGGGGAAGAUCUGGCAGCUGCAUCUGCAUCUCAAGCUGUAUGAGGAGGAAUGAUUGAUGUAAUUAGGGCUAAUUACUCUCUGUUUUGUUUUGGUAGCACAUGGGUGCUCUUUUUGAUGUACUUUGCAUAGCACAUGUGUGCUCAUUUUGAUAUACUUUGGACACCAUAUGGGUGGGUUUUUCUGAUGUAGAUGACAUUCAAUGUGGACCACAAGUUGUGAUGUUAUGUUUUUUAUUGCAAGUGGGAUGGACCACUUUUUCC